CUCUUUCGGAGCAACGUUGGAAGGAGCUGGUGACGGAGUGCUCUCAGAAGGCUGUUUGUGCUUAGUGUAUACAGUUGUCUGCAGUCAGUCCAUCAUUACGAAAUGAUUAUUUCAGCAAACAAUACAAUGGCACAUAUUCUUUUCUCCCGUUCUCCAUAUCCUGGGUUUCAUUUUCAACAGCGUGUGGCUGGA
Molecule: long non-coding RNA, 192 nt
Organism: Colossoma macropomum (tambaqui)
Lineage: Eukaryota; Metazoa; Chordata; Actinopteri; Characiformes; Serrasalmidae
Exons: 3
Source: RefSeq, a predicted model, not a curated record